GACGAACGCUGGCGGCGUGCUUAACACAUGCAAGUCGAACGAUGAUGCCAGCUUGCUGGUGGAUUAGUGGCGAACGGGUGAGUAACACGUGAGCAACCUGCCCCUGACUUCGGGAUAACCGUGGGAAACCGUGGCUAAUACCGGAUAUGACGCGCUAUCGCAUGGUGGUGUGUGGAAAGAUUUAUCGGUUGGGGAUGGGCUCGCGGCCUAUCAGCUUGUUGGUGGGGUGAUGGCCUACCAAGGCGACGACGGGUAGCCGGCCUGAGAGGGUGACCGGCCACACUGGGACUGAGACACGGCCCAGACUCCUACGGGAGGCAGCAGUGGGGAAUAUUGCACAAUGGGCGCAAGCCUGAUGCAGCGACGCCGCGUGAGGGAUGACGGCCUUCGGGUUGUAAACCUCUUUCAGUAGGGAAGAAGGCCUUCGGGUUGACGGUACCUGCAGAAGAAGCGCCGGCUAACUACGUG
This 468-nucleotide ribosomal RNA is filed under the name uncultured bacterium. RNAcentral's name for it is "partial 16S ribosomal RNA". It matches the Rfam family "Bacterial small subunit ribosomal RNA", at positions 28 to 507 of the family's 1533-position model. The record is from RNAcentral.